UCCUCUCAUUCUCCAAAACUCCAACAUCCGAAUUCAAAUUCCAAUACUUUCUUACUACCUCCAUCCCUUUUUCCUAUUUUUGCAGUUAUAUCAUAUAUUAAAAUUGAAAAUUCAUAGAAACGUAAGAAGAUAUUAAUACCUUAAAGUAGCGGGAUGAGCCAUGUGCUAAUUACUUCCAUGUUCCGGUCCAAGCUGCUGUUGUUUUUGCUAACCUGUUUACUCAAUUUGAAUAUUUACAAAUGUAAAAAAAACUAACAAGUUAACUAAGUAGUACCUCAUUCCCCAUUGGAACAAAAUAAUUUUAAAUUGGGCAAGCUUGCCAACAAUCAGUAUAACCACCUGUAAAAAUAUUCCUAAAAGUUAAUUAACUCGCAUCAAUACUAUAUCAUUCAGUCAAAGCACUAAAGGAAAAAAAUCUAAUUUUAAUAAUAAUACCUAUGGUGCAAAAAAUUCUCCAUGCUUCCAAAUAUUAGCCAUUGAAUUAAUUCCAGCCAAUCGAAUCUCUAUCUGCUUCCAAUCUUCUGCUUAUAUUAACUGUGAAUUGUACACAUUUCAAAAUUUUCAAUUAACCUCUCCCUCGAUCAUUG
Molecule: long non-coding RNA, 587 nt
Filed under: Panax ginseng (ginseng)
Lineage: Eukaryota; Viridiplantae; Streptophyta; Magnoliopsida; Apiales; Araliaceae
Description: long non-coding RNA (PGIN_LNC006352)
Source: RNAcentral